This 445-nucleotide ribosomal RNA is filed under the name uncultured bacterium. Its description in RNAcentral is "partial 16S ribosomal RNA". It matches the Rfam family "Bacterial small subunit ribosomal RNA", at positions 338 to 795 of the family's 1533-position model. The record is from RNAcentral.
CCUACGGGAGGCAGCAGUCGAGAAUCAUUCACAAUGGGGGAAACCCUGAUGGUGCGACGCCGCGUGGGGGAAUGAAGGUCUUCGGAUUGUAAACCCCUGUUAUGUGGGAGCAAAUUAAAAAGAUAGUACCACAAGAGGAAGAGACGGCUAACCCUGUGCCAGCAGCCGCGGUAAUACAGAGGUCUCAAGCGUUGUUCGGAAUCACUGGGCGUAAAGCGUGCGUAGGCUGUUUCGUAAGUCGUGUGUGAAAGGCGCGGGCUCAACCCGCGGACGGCACAUGAUACUGCGAGACUAGAGUAGUGGAGGGGGAACCGGAAGUCUCGGUGUAGCAGUGAAAUGCGUAGAUAUCGAGAGGAACACUCGUGGCGAAGGCGGGUUCCUGGACAUUAACUGACGCUGAGGCACGAAGGCCAGGGGAGCGAAGGGAUUAGAUACCCGGGUAGUC